RNAcentral lists this long non-coding RNA (818 nucleotides) under Capsicum annuum. Its description in RNAcentral is "long non-coding RNA (CANN_LNC017664)". Lineage: Eukaryota; Viridiplantae; Streptophyta; Magnoliopsida; Solanales; Solanaceae. The record is from RNAcentral.
UCGUCUUUUACAAUGGGGUGGCUUCAAAUAUCCAACAGAGAGAUAAUGUCAUUGGUCAUGUAUUAGAGUCCCAAAAUCAGUCAAGUUGAAGCAAAUCCAUUUAUACGGUGAAUUUUUCGGGUGCAAAUCGACCCAAGAUUAAUAUUAACAGUAACAAAAUGUAGCAGCACCAUAUUAGUGAUAAUAAUGACAAAAAUAAAGAGCAAAAUCAUAACAAUAAUAAUAAAACGUCAAUGAGCAGGAAUCAACAAAGAAGAAAAUAAUAACAAUAAACAAUUAUAGUAAUUAAAGACGAAGGAAAAAUCCAAAACAGUGUUGGUGUUGCCGUUGCUUUAAUGGAGAAUGUCGGAGCAACGCCGAAAAAUUAGAGCACGGAUAGAUCUGGCCAAAUUUUGGGUGAACAGUGGCGAAAAGGUUGUUUACCAGUCGUCCGGUGAUCAAAUUCGAUGAUGGUAGUGAAAAGAGGGAGAGAGAUCUGGUGGCAGCUUGUUUUUCGAUGUUGAAGUCGUUCGCUGGUCGUCCAGUUGCUAAAUCCGGCGACGGUGGUGGGAAUAAGGGAAAAGCAAAAAGGAGGCGGUUGGUUGGCUUGUCAGCCAAUUUUGCCGGAUCUGAUUUGGCAGUCCCAAUUUGUGGUCACCGGUCGUCCAACGAUUAAAUCGGCGGUUGGCAGUGAGGCGUCGGAGAGAGAGAAAGGAGGGGGUGGCAGCAGCAGCAUCUUGGCGGUGGUGGUCGAAGCUCCGGCAAUGAUGGCAGUGAAGGGAAAAAGCUGAUUUAUUUAUUUUGUGUGUGAAUCAUUUGUGGUGUGUAUUUUUGUGUGU